Long non-coding RNA from Xiphias gladius (swordfish), 1031 nucleotides. RefSeq lists it as uncharacterized. The transcript has 5 exons. The record is from RefSeq and is a predicted model, not a curated record. Lineage: Eukaryota; Metazoa; Chordata; Actinopteri; Istiophoriformes; Xiphiidae.
UGGCUGCUGGAAGCAGGCACAGGUGUCCUGAUUGGGCAGCUGACACAGGUGCACUGAGUGUGUUUGUUCUUUCGCCGUGUGCACUUCGGUUGAGCUGGUUCCCUCCGUCCUUGUUCUUUGUCCCCGAGUUUGUUGAAGAGGACACCGCUCAGCAACACCUGACUGACUGAAGGAAACAGAAUGGGGUCUUUAAUACAGAGCCUGAGGUUGGCCUCCGCUUCUGUUCUCAUGCUGAUGAGUCAGUUCCAGUGGACUCUCACCGAACAGGGGGGGAAAGUUGUCAGGUGUCCUCCUGUAACCUGGUUAAUUAUUCUUCUCCAUUUAGACACCGACAAACCACAAGAGAUACUUUAAAGAGUCUGGUCUGGAUUAAAUAACCUGCUGACCAGCCCCUCGCAUCCUCUACCUGAAACCAAACUCUGACUGCAACACGCAGUCACACAAAACCUAAAGACACCUGGGACCAGACUCCUUUAAGCAGGUCUCAUCAUCCUCUCAUUAUCACAGGAUCCAGGCAGGACGGAGUUUGAGAAGAAAGGCCCCCGGACUGAAAGAGAUGCAAAAGGAGAACAAACAACACGAGGACUUCACCCUCUGCGGUCCACUAGUUAUUCAAAGAGAGAAGCUGGAGGUUUUCUCUUUCACCUCAAUACAGUUUGAUCACAGCAGCAUCUAGUGGACAUCAGAGGGACUGCAGAUCUGAGGCUGCUGAAUGGACCGGACCAGACCAGUUCAGACCAGUUCCAACCGAUUUGGGUUGGAUCGGUCCAGACCAGGAGUCGGAGUUACUUCUGGGUGAACAGGGCUCCCAGUGUGAUCCCAGCUGCUCCCAGUACAGCCAGCCCAAACACUGUCCUCAGAGACCAGAAACUGACUGGCGGUCUGGAUUCACUGUACAACUCCACAAAGGCAUCCUGGGAAAUCAGAGAGAGAGAGACAGCUCUGACUGUUGCUGCAUUAUCUCGGACUGACGAUCAGUUCCAGUUUCUUUCUGGGAAAUCUGUAUCUGUAAAUAAAAACAGCCGAAGAUG